RNAcentral lists this ribosomal RNA (377 nucleotides) under uncultured eukaryote. RNAcentral describes it as "partial 18S ribosomal RNA". It matches the Rfam family "Eukaryotic small subunit ribosomal RNA", at positions 592 to 976 of the family's 1831-position model. The record is from RNAcentral.
CAAUAGCGUAUAUUUAAGUUGCUGCAGUUAAAAAGCUCGUAGUUGGAUUUCGGGUGGGAAUGGCCGGUCCGCCGUUUCGGUGUGCACUUGCUACGCCCACCUUGCUGCCGGGGACGUGCUCUUGAGUUCACGCUCGGGACACGGAGUCGGCGAGGUUACUUUGAGUAAAUUAGAGUGUUCAAAGCAGGCCUACGCUCUGAAUACAUUAGCAUGGAAUAACACGAUAGGACUCUGGCCUAUCUUGUUGGUCUGUAGGACCGGAGUAAUGAUUAAGAGGGACAGUCGGGGGCAUUCGUAUUUCAUUGUCAGAGGUGAAAUUCUUGGAUUUAUGAAAGACGAACUACUGCGAAAGCAUUUGCCACGGAUGUUUUCAUUAA